This 447-nucleotide long non-coding RNA is filed under the name Homo sapiens (human). RNAcentral describes it as "HSALNT0334008". Lineage: Eukaryota; Metazoa; Chordata; Mammalia; Primates; Hominidae. The record is from RNAcentral.
CGUUGAUCAGCAGAGCACUCACCAGGAAGAAGGAACCUGUGGAAGAAGAUGUUAGGUAGAAGGUGAAGUUUCAAGUCCAGUUGGUCCUGCCAGCUGCCAUGUUGUGAAUAUGGAGAAGCCAGAAUGGGGAGGAACUCAGGCCUGCCAACAGCUGCAUGAGUGAGCCUGGAAGCAGAUCCUCCAGCCUCAGUAGACCCUUGAGAUAACUGCAAUCUCACGAGAGACCUCGAACCAGAGUGCUGUGCUAGAGUUGGAUUUCAGCCACAGCUUGUUCAUGUUCUUGACCUCUUUUGUGCUAUCCACAACCUGCCCGAUCACAAGCUUCAACCCUGCCUGUUGAGCCUCAGAAAAAUAGAGAAAUGGAGCACAAGUAAUUGUUUACCCUGGGCACGUGGACAAGGUCUGAUACAUUGUCUUUGGAUGAACAGGCUUCAUAUCUUCCUUACC